ACGCCGCGUGAGUGAAGAAGGGUUUCGGCUCGUAAAGCUCUGUUGUUGGUGAAGAAAGAUAGAGGUAGUAACUGGCCUUUAUUUGACGGUAAUCACCCAGAAAGUCACGGCUAACUACGUGCCAGCAGCCGCGGUAAUACGUAGGUGGCAAGCGUUGUCCGGAUUUAUUGGGCGUAAAGCGAGUGCAGGCGGUUCAAUAAGUCUGAUGUGAAAGCCUUCGGCUUAACCGGAGAAUUGCAUCGGAAACUGUGGAACUUGAGUGCAGAAGAGGAGAGUGGAACUCCAUGUGUAG
RNAcentral lists this ribosomal RNA (292 nucleotides) under uncultured Lactobacillus sp. Its description in RNAcentral is "partial 16S ribosomal RNA". It matches the Rfam family "Bacterial small subunit ribosomal RNA", at positions 394 to 678 of the family's 1533-position model. Lineage: Bacteria; Bacillati; Bacillota; Bacilli; Lactobacillales; Lactobacillaceae. The record is from RNAcentral.